UACGGAGGGGGCAAGCGUUGCUCGGAAUCACUGGGCGUAAAGCGCACGCAGGCGGAUUGUUAAGUCAGGGGUGAAAUCCUGGAGCUCAACUCCAGAACUGCCUUUGAUACUGGCGAUCUCGAGUCCGGGAGAGGUGAGUGGAACUGCGAGUGUAGAGGUGAAAUUCGUAGAUAUUCGCAAGAACACCAGUGGCGAAGGCGGCUCACUGGCCCGGUACUGACGCUGAGGUGCGAAAGCGUGGGGAGCAAACAGG
Molecule: ribosomal RNA, 253 nt
Filed under: uncultured bacterium
Lineage: Bacteria
Description: partial 16S ribosomal RNA
Rfam family: Bacterial small subunit ribosomal RNA
Source: RNAcentral